This 1143-nucleotide ribosomal RNA is filed under the name uncultured bacterium. RNAcentral's name for it is "bacterial SSU rRNA". It matches the Rfam family "Bacterial small subunit ribosomal RNA", at positions 8 to 1123 of the family's 1533-position model. The record is from RNAcentral.
AGAGUUUGAUCCUGGCUCAAGAAGAACGCUGGCGGCGUGCUUAACACAUGCAAGUCGAACGGACCAUUUGCAACGUUUGUUGUGGGUGGUUAGUGGCGGACGGGUGAGUAACACGUGAGUAACCUGCCCCUUGGUUUUUUGGGAUAACUGCUUGAAAGGGUGGCUAAUACCGAUGGUGCGGUUGGUGUCGCAUGACAUUGAUCGGGAAGAACAGUCUUUAUUGGUUGUUUGGUUGGGGAUGGGCUCGCAGCCUAUUAGUUUGUUGGGGGGGUGAUGGCUUACCAAGGCUUUGACGGGUAGCCGGCCUGAGAGGGUGGUCGGUCACAUUGGGACUGAGAUACGGCCCAGACUCCUACGGGAGGCAGCAGUGGGGAAUAUUGCACAAUGAACGGAAGUUUGAUGCAGCGACGCCGUGUGAGGGAUGAAGGCCUUUGGGUUGUAAACCUUUUUCGCUUUUGACCAAGGCACAGGUUUGGCCUGUGUUGAGGGUAGGGGGUAAAUGAAGCUCCGGCUAACUACGUGCCAGCAGCCGCGGUAAUACGUAGGGAGCGAGCGUUGUCCGGAUUUAUUGGGCGUAAAGGGCUUGUAGGUGGUGUGUCGCGUCUGUCGUGAAAUUCCAUGGCUUAACUGUGGGAGUGCGGUGGGUACGGGCAUGCUUGAGUGCGGUAGGGGAGACUGGAAUUCUUGGUGUAGCGGUGGAAUGCGCAGAUAUCAGGAGGAACACCGGUGGCGAAGGCGGGUCUCUGGGCCGUUACUGACGCUGAGGAGCGAAAGCGUGGGGAGCGAACAGGAUUAGAUACCCUGGUAGUCCACGCUGUAAACGUUGGACACUAGAUAAAGGGUUCCACUUGUUUGUGGGGGUUGCUGUGUCGUAGUUAACGCAUAAAGUGUCCGCCUGGGGAGUACGGCCGCAAGGCUAAAACUCAAAGGAAUGACGGGGCCCGCACAAGCGGCGGAGCAUGCGGAUUAAUUCGAGGCAACGCGAAGAACCUUACCAAGGCUUGACAUACACCUGGAGCUAUCAGAAAUGGUGGUGACUUUGAUACAGGUUGUACAGGUGGUGCAUGGUUGUCGUCAGCUCGUGUCGUGAGAUGUUGGGUUAAGUCCCGUAACGAGCGCAACCCUUGUCUUAUGUUGCCAGCA